RNAcentral lists this long non-coding RNA (930 nucleotides) under Chrysolophus pictus (golden pheasant). Its description in RNAcentral is "lncRNA (ENSCPIG00010001312.1)". The record is from RNAcentral. Lineage: Eukaryota; Metazoa; Chordata; Aves; Galliformes; Phasianidae.
CUGGGGUCACCACUGGGGCCACCAUCGGGACCACUAUUGGGAACAGCAUUGAGGUCACUAUUGGGCCACCAUCGGGGUCACCAUUUGGGCCACCAUUGGGGUCACCACUGGGGCUACUAUUGGAGCCACCAUUGGGACCACCAUGGGGGCCACCAUCAGGAGCACCAUUGGGGCCACCAUUGGGGUCACUAUCGGGCCACCAUCGGGGUCACCAUUGGGGCCACCAUUGAGACCCCUAUUGGGGCCACCAUUGGGACAACUUUGGGGUCACCAUUGGGGCCACCAUCAGGAACACUAUUGGGAACAGCAUUGAGGUCAUUGUCGGGCCACCAUUAGGAUCACCAUUGGGGCCACCAUUGGGGCCACCAUUAAGACUCCUAUUGGGGUCGCCAUUGGGGCCACCAUCAGGACCAUUAUUGGGAACACCGUUGAGGUCACUAUCAGGCCACCAUCGGGGUCACCACUGGGGCCGCCAUUGGGGCCACCAUCGGGACCACUAUUGGGGCCACCAUUGGGGCCACCAUCGGGGCCACCAUCAGGACCACUAUUGGGGCCACCAUCAGGACCACUAUUAGGAACACCAUCGGGGCCACCAUCAGGACCACUAUUGGGGCCACCAUCGGGGCCACCAUCAGGACCAGUAUUGGGGUCACCAUUGGGGCCUCCAUUCCGGCCACCACUGUGGACCCCGCUGUCCCCCCCACCCCGCAGCCAUGCAGGUUUCUGGCUACCUGAACCUGGCGGCCGACGUGGCUCACAACGUGACGGACGGUCUGGCCAUCGGGGCGUCCUUCGUGGCCGGCCCGGCCGUGGGGACGGUGACGGCGUUGACGGUGCUCCUCCACGAGGUCCCGCACGAGGUCGGCGACCUCGCCAUCUUGGUGCAGUCGGGCUGUAGCAAGAAGCAGGUGAGAGCCCCCCCUCCUGGGG